AGUGAACGCUGGCGGUGGGCCUAACACAUGCAAGUCGAACGGCAGCACAGUAAGAGCUUGCUCUUACGGGUGGCGAGUGGCGGACGGGUGAGGAAUACAUCGGAAUCUACUUUUUCGUGGGGGAUAACGUAGGGAAACUUACGCUAAUACCGCAUACGACCUACGGGUGAAAGCAGGGGAUCUUCGGACCUUGCGCGAUUGAAUGAGCCGAUGUCGGAUUAGCUAGUUGGCGGGGUAAAGGCCCACCAAGGCGACGAUCCGUAGCUGGUCUGAGAGGAUGAUCAGCCAACCUGGAACUGAGAAACGGUCCAGACUCCUACGGGAGGCAGCAGUGGGGAAUAUUGGACAAUGGGCGCAAGCCUGAUCCAGCCAUACCGCGUGGGUGAAGAAGGCCUUCGGGUUGUAAAGCCCUUUUGUUGGGAAAGAAAAGCAGCAGGUUAAUACCCCGCUGUUCUGACGGUACCCAAAGAAUAAGCACCGGCUAACUUCGUG
Molecule: ribosomal RNA, 492 nt
Filed under: uncultured bacterium
Lineage: Bacteria
Description: partial 16S ribosomal RNA
Rfam family: Bacterial small subunit ribosomal RNA
Source: RNAcentral